This 274-nucleotide ribosomal RNA is filed under the name uncultured bacterium. RNAcentral describes it as "partial 16S ribosomal RNA". It matches the Rfam family "Bacterial small subunit ribosomal RNA", at positions 523 to 796 of the family's 1533-position model. The record is from RNAcentral.
AUACGAAAGGGGCUAGCGUUGUUCGGAAUUACUGGGCGUAAAGCGCACGUAGGCGGCAUUGUAAGUUGGGGGUGAAAUCCCAGGGCUCAACCCUGGAACUGCCUCCAAAACUACAGAGCUAGAGGAUGUGAGAGGAUAGUGGAAUUCCGAGUGUAGAGGUGAAAUUCGUAGAUAUUCGGAAGAACACCAGUGGCGAAGGCGACUGUCUGGCACAUUUCUGACGCUGAGGCACGAAAGCGUGGGGAGCGAACAGGAUUAGAAACCCUAGUAGUCC